UAGGGAAUCUUCCGCAAUGGGCGAAAGCCUGACGGAGCAACGCCGCGUGAGUGAUGAAGGUCUUCGGAUCGUAAAACUCUGUUAUUAGGGAAGAACAAAUGUGUAAGUAACUAUGCACGUCUUGACGGUACCUAAUCAGAAAGCCACGGCUAACUACGUGCCAGCAGCCGCGGUAAUACGUAGGUGGCAAGCGUUAUCCGGAAUUAUUGGGCGUAAAGCGCGCGUAGGCGGUUUUUUAAGUCUGAUGUGAAAGCCCACGGCUCAACCGUGGAGGGUCAUUGGAAACUGGAAAACUUGAGUGCAGAAGAGGAAAGUGAAUUCCAUGUGUAGCGGUGAAAUGCGCAGAGAUAUGGAGGAACACCAGUGGCGAAGGCGACUUUCUGGUCUGUAACUGACGCUGAUGUGCGAAAGCGGGGGGAUCAAACAGG
Molecule: ribosomal RNA, 428 nt
Filed under: Actinomycetes bacterium
Lineage: Bacteria; Bacillati; Actinomycetota; Actinomycetes
Description: Actinobacteria bacterium partial 16S ribosomal RNA
Rfam family: Bacterial small subunit ribosomal RNA
Source: RNAcentral